CAGGAUGAGCAACUUGCCUUUUAGCAUGAGGAAAUGAAAAAGAUGCAAUAAGCAAGAUGCAAGAUUAUGAUUUGGUACUGUUGUUCAGUGAAGGACCCCAGAGAUUUCAAAAAAUAUUUUUUAUUAAGAAGAUGAGAGGCAAAGA
Molecule: long non-coding RNA, 145 nt
Filed under: Monodelphis domestica (gray short-tailed opossum)
Lineage: Eukaryota; Metazoa; Chordata; Mammalia; Didelphimorphia; Didelphidae
Description: lncRNA (ENSMODG00000035765.2)
Source: RNAcentral